AUACGGAGGGUGCAAGCGUUGUUCGGAAUUAUUGGGCGUAAAGAGCAUGUAGGCGGACUGUUAAGUCUGGUGUGAAAGCCCGGGGCUCAACCCCGGAAGUGCAUUGGAUACUGGCAGUCUUGAGUAUGGGAGAGGAAAGUGGAAUUCCGAGUGUAGGAGUGAAAUCCGUAGAUAUUCGGAGGGACACCAGUGGCGAAGGCGGCUUUCUGGACCAAUACCGACGCUGAGAUGCGAAAGCGUGGGGAGCAAACAGGAUUAGAAACCCUUGUAGUCC
Molecule: ribosomal RNA, 274 nt
Filed under: uncultured bacterium
Lineage: Bacteria
Description: partial 16S ribosomal RNA
Rfam family: Bacterial small subunit ribosomal RNA
Source: RNAcentral